CAACCCUAUAAAAAACCUGGUACAGGAAAUUAUCACUGAACUACAAAGAACCAGGGAUCUAUAUUCUAUUCAUAUAACGAGAACAAAGAAUGCAUCAAGACCUAAGGAUUACAGACCUAGUAUGAAGUUUAUUUUGAGAUGGACGUUUUGCCACAUAUAUUGUUUCAACUCAUUUUUGUAACACACUCCAAACAACAAUAGAAACAAGAAAAAGAAA
Long non-coding RNA from Pelobates fuscus (common spadefoot toad), 217 nucleotides. RefSeq lists it as uncharacterized. The transcript has 3 exons. The record is from RefSeq and is a predicted model, not a curated record. NCBI's taxonomy places the organism in Eukaryota, Metazoa, Chordata, Amphibia, Anura, Pelobatidae.